Molecule: ribosomal RNA, 253 nt
Filed under: uncultured bacterium
Lineage: Bacteria
Description: partial 16S ribosomal RNA
Rfam family: Bacterial small subunit ribosomal RNA
Source: RNAcentral
GACAGAGGGUGCAAACGUUGUUCGGAAUUACUGGGCGUAAAGCGCGUGUAGGCGGCUAUGCAAGUCGGGCGUGAAAGCCCUCGGCUCAACCGAGGAAGUGCACUCGAAACUGCAUAGCUAGAGUCCUGGAGAGGAAGGUGGAAUGCUUGGUGUAGAGGUGAAAUUCGUAGAUAUCAAGCGGAACACCGGUGGCGAAGGCGGCCUUCUGGACAGUGACUGACGCUGAGACGCGAAAGCGUGGGGAGCAAACAGG